This 72-nucleotide transfer RNA is filed under the name Bos taurus (domestic cattle). It matches the Rfam family "tRNA". Rfam says of the family: Transfer RNA (tRNA) molecules are approximately 80 nucleotides in length. Their secondary structure includes four short double-helical elements and three loops (D, anti-codon, and T loops). Lineage: Eukaryota; Metazoa; Chordata; Mammalia; Artiodactyla; Bovidae. RNAcentral also lists the same sequence under 1 other name. The record is from Rfam by way of RNAcentral.
UCCCCAGUGGCUCAGAUGGUAAAGAAUCUGCCUGCAGUUCAGGAGACCUGGGUUCAGUCCCCAGGUGGGGAA